AAAAAGACAAACCCUGAGUUUCCAUGUUCAACGUUUGACUGUUCGUCUUAUAUAAAAUUAUUUUAUAAUUAGUAUUUUUAUUGUUGUUAGAUGAUAAAACAUGAUUAAUACUUUAUACGUGACUUGUUUUUUUAAUUUUUUUUAUAUUUUUUUCAAAUAAGACGGACGGUCAAACGUUGGAUACGGAAACAUAAGUUUGUCUUUUUU
This is a non-coding RNA of Oryza barthii, 207 nucleotides long. Lineage: Eukaryota; Viridiplantae; Streptophyta; Magnoliopsida; Poales; Poaceae. The record is from Rfam.